Molecule: ribosomal RNA, 937 nt
Filed under: Cortinarius icterinoides
Lineage: Eukaryota; Fungi; Basidiomycota; Agaricomycetes; Agaricales; Cortinariaceae
Description: partial large subunit ribosomal RNA
Rfam family: Eukaryotic large subunit ribosomal RNA
Source: RNAcentral
CAUAUCAAUAAGCGGAGGAAAAGAAACUAACAAGGAUUCCCCUAGUAACUGCGAGUGAAGCGGGAAAAGCUCAAAUUUAAAAUCUGGCGGUCUUUGGCUGCCCGAGUUGUAAUCUAGAGAAGUGUUAUCCGUGCUGGACCGUGUACAAGUCUCCUGGAAUGGAGCGUCAUAGAGGGUGAGAAUCCCGUCUUUGACACGGACUGCCAGGACUUUGUGAUGCGCUCUCAAAGAGUCGAGUUGUUUGGGAAUGCAGCUCAAAAUGGGUGGUAAAUUCCAUCUAAAGCUAAAUAUUGGCGAGAGACCGAUAGCGAACAAGUACCGUGAGGGAAAGAUGAAAAGAACUUUGGAAAGAGAGUUAAACAGUACGUGAAAUUGCUGAAAGGGAAACGCUUGAAGUCAGUCGCGUUGUCCAGGGAUCAACCUUGCUUUUGCUUGGUGCACUUUCUGGUUGACGGGUCAGCAUCAAUUUUGAUCAUUGGAAAAAGAUUAGGGGAAUGUGGCAUCUUUGGAUGUGUUAUAGCCCUUGGUUGCAUACAAUGGUUGGGAUUGAGGAACUCAGCACGCCGCAAGGCCGGGUUUUUAACCACGUACGUGCUUAGGAUGCUGGCAUAAUGGCUUUAAUCGACCCGUCUUGAAACACGGACCAAGGAGUCUAACAUGCCUGCGAGUGUUUGGGUGGAAAACCCGAGCGCGUAAUGAAAGUGAAAGUUGAGAUCCCUGUCGUGGGGAGCAUCGACGCCCGGACCAGACCUUUUGUGACGGUUCCGCGGUAGAGCAUGUAUGUUGGGACCCGAAAGAUGGUGAACUAUGCCUGAAUAGGGUGAAGCCAGAGGAAACUCUGGUGGAGGCUCGUAGCGAUUCUGACGUGCAAAUCGAUCGUCAAAUUUGGGUAUAGGGGCGAAAGACUAAUCGAACCAUCUAGUAGCUGGUUCCUGCC